GAUGAAGAACGUAGCGAAAUGCGUUAAGUAGUGUGAAUUGCAGAAUUCAGUGAAUCAUCGAAUCUUUGAACGCACAUUGCGCCCUUUGGUAUUCCUUAGGGCAUGCCUGUUCGAGCGUCAUUUAAACCUUCAAGCUCAGCUUGGUGUUGGGUGACUGUCCGCUUCACCGCGGACUCGCCUCAAAAUUAUUGGCGGCCGGUACAUUGGCUUCGAGCGCAGCAGAAACGCGAACUCGGGCCCGUCGUAUUGGCUCCCAGAAGCUAUCUUCACAAUUUUGACCUCGGAUCAGGUAGGGAUACCCGCUGAACUUAAGCAUAUCAAUAAGCGGAGGA
RNAcentral lists this unclassified non-coding RNA (332 nucleotides) under soil metagenome. RNAcentral's name for it is "partial contains 5.8S ribosomal RNA, internal transcribed spacer 2, and large subunit ribosomal RNA". The stretch from base 1 to 120 matches the Rfam family "5.8S ribosomal RNA", at positions 35 to 154 of the family's 154-position model. The record is from RNAcentral.